RNAcentral lists this microRNA precursor (89 nucleotides) under Cicer arietinum (chickpea). RNAcentral's name for it is "mir-395 microRNA precursor family". It matches the Rfam family "mir-395 microRNA precursor family". Rfam says of the family: mir-395 was identified in both Arabidopsis thaliana and Oryza sativa computationally and was later experimentally verified. mir-395 is thought to target mRNAs coding for ATP sulphurylases. The record is from Rfam by way of RNAcentral. Lineage: Eukaryota; Viridiplantae; Streptophyta; Magnoliopsida; Fabales; Fabaceae.
GUUGUUCCUAGAGUUCUCUUAAACAUUUCACUAAAGAUUCCAUUUCUCGUCCACGUUCUUGAAGUGUUUGGAGGAACUCUCGGAAUCAC